RNAcentral lists this long non-coding RNA (769 nucleotides) under Manacus vitellinus (golden-collared manakin). RNAcentral describes it as "lncRNA (ENSMVIG00005013359.1)". Lineage: Eukaryota; Metazoa; Chordata; Aves; Passeriformes; Pipridae. The record is from RNAcentral.
AUUUUUCUAUUUGCUAUGGAUUUGGUGUGUUGUGUUACAUGCUUAUAUUUCUUUUUAAACACUUAGGAGUUCACCAGACUUUUUUGUUAUGUGGUUGAUGAAGCAUUAUCCUGGGACAAUAGUAAUGAUGGAUGGAUGAACGUACUUCAGGCUUUAGUCACAGAGAAGCAUGACGAUUUAGACCUCUGAAGUAGGUGUGAAUGGAAUUGAAGGGCUUACAUGGAGGAUUCUGAAUUCCCUUCCUUCCUGCUCCAGGAAAGACGGGAGAGGCAGAUGGAUCAUUCUUUACCAGCUGCCAAGGCCAAUACUGCUGUAUAGCCCUUGCUCUCAGCAACGUCCUCAGUGUCCUGGUGAUGGGGUGCCUUGUAAGGACUGUGCAGAUCAAGCUUCAUACUACCUUUGCACUUCAGGCUCUCUGUGCUGCAUAAAGCUGCACCGUUCAGAAGAAGCAAGACUGUCUUUCCUUACAGCUACGAUGCUGCACCGCUUUCGACACAGCGUGCUUUUCCCCGCGUUUACCUGGGCGGCUGCUGCUCUUUCUGCUGCUGCUGGGGCUGCUGCAGUCUUGCUGCCUGCGCUUCACCCUGGCUUAACUGACUCGAAACUCUCCCGUCUGCACAUUGCUAAGGAAGAAGAACGAUGGAGCCGCAUUUUUUUUUUUUGUUGGCUCUGGAAGCAAAGGGUUGCGAUAUGCGAUGAUUUGGGGAUUUUCUUUGGUGGGGGGGAAGGAGGAGAAAAGAAGGGUGUUAAUCUAGGAUGGGGUGGGUGA